This 373-nucleotide ribosomal RNA is filed under the name uncultured bacterium. RNAcentral describes it as "bacterial SSU rRNA". It matches the Rfam family "Bacterial small subunit ribosomal RNA", at positions 521 to 896 of the family's 1533-position model. The record is from RNAcentral.
UAAUACGAAGGUCCCGAGCGUUAUCCGGAUUUAUUGGGUUUAAAGGGUGCGUAGGCGGGUUAUUAAGUCAGUGGUGAAAGCCUUCAGCUUAACUGAAGAAUUGCCAUUGAUACUGAUGAUCUUGAGUAUGAUUGAGGUGGGCGGAAUGUGUCAUGUAGCGGUGAAAUGCUUAGAUAUGACACAGAACACCGAUUGCGAAGGCAGCUCACUAAGUCAUAACUGACGCUGAUGCACGAAAGCGUGGGGAGCAAACAGGAUUAGAUACCCUGGUAGUCCACGCCCUAAACGAUGAUCACUCGAUGUGUGCGAUACACUGUACGCGUCUGAGCGAAAGCAUUAAGUGAUCCACCUGGGGAGUACGACCGCAAGGUUG